Long non-coding RNA from Rhagoletis zephyria (snowberry fruit fly), 353 nucleotides. RefSeq lists it as uncharacterized. The record is from RefSeq and is a predicted model, not a curated record. Lineage: Eukaryota; Metazoa; Arthropoda; Insecta; Diptera; Tephritidae.
ACCCGAUAAGAAUUCGUACUCUAACAAGAAUUCUAUGCGUUAGAGCGAGCAAGUUAGAAACAUCAGAGUUUUGAUGACAGUAUACAUACUGUGAAGAAAUGUCACUACGAAAACUUUGAAGAUUGCAAAAAAGCAGCGACUUAGUCACAUUCUUAAGAUUCACUAUCAGCACCUUCAACGCUUGCAUCUUCAUCGCCAGGAGCACCAUUAGAACCUUCUGCCCUCAGCUUCUUCAUCGCCAGGAGCACCACCAGUACCCUCUACCCUCAGCUCCUUCAUCGCCAGGAGCACCAUGAGUACCUUCCGCCCUCAGCACUUUCAACGCCAGGAGCACCUUCAAAGUGUAGGUCCAA